Long non-coding RNA from Oryza sativa Japonica Group (Japanese rice), 894 nucleotides. RefSeq lists it as uncharacterized. The record is from RefSeq and is a predicted model, not a curated record. Lineage: Eukaryota; Viridiplantae; Streptophyta; Magnoliopsida; Poales; Poaceae.
UUAAUGGCAGGAAAAACCUCAAAAAGUGAAAUCCAUUCAACCGAGGAGCGCACACACGCAUCGCAUUGGUCUCUCUCUCUCUCCCGUUUCCCCCAAAUCCACCCCACCGAGCGGCGGCGAGGCGAGCCCACGCCGGCGACGAGAUGAGCUUCGAGUACCUGGGGGGGCCGAUCAGCAAGAACCCAAAUCAUGGUGGCGCCACCGUCGGAGUCCUCGACGACGCGCACUCCGGGAGGCGUGAGAGGGCCUGGCCUCGUCAGGACAAGCGCAGACCCUACCCUUCCAAGUUCAUCGUUGAUUUUGCCUGUGAUUCUGCCUGAUGUGUGUGUAACGUGGGUUUAAUGAACAAGUCGUCUUUGAAAUACCCAAGGACUGCAUCAGCAAUGACCCGCUGGUAACUGAGAGGAACACAAAACUUGUCAAGUUUUAUGAAGAGAUUGCGCAAAACCGCUAUCAGAGAUAUCAUCUUAUUGAGGCUGGAGCUGGCAAAAAAAAGCUAACGAAGUCCUGGGAGAACCUGCAGACCAAGCUGAAGACAGCAAGGACAUAUCAGCAAGAUGUGAGACAAGUUGGUGGAAAAGCCGUCCCUAUCCCCGCCCAUUUCACUGAUGAGGUGUAGUGCUUGUGAUUAAAACCUGUUCCGGAGCCAGUCUGUUGUCGUUAUCACAGGCUUCUUUUGUGAUUAGACUUCUUUUGCUCCAUGUCCGUUACUUCGUUAUCCCUAGCACAAACCUGUUUUGAAGGAAGGGUUUGGUAUUAGGUGACUACUUGAAAACCAUGAUCACUUUUCUUGGAUGAUGUCAAAUCUAUUCAUGGUUUUGAUAAUGCCAAAAGGUUUCAUGAGACAAUUUGUUAACUGAAUUAUCGGCGCUCUAGGUUUGUCAUUUGAAAUUA